Molecule: ribosomal RNA, 748 nt
Filed under: uncultured bacterium
Lineage: Bacteria
Description: bacterial SSU rRNA
Rfam family: Bacterial small subunit ribosomal RNA
Source: RNAcentral
GAUGAACGCUGGCGGCCUGUCUAACACAUGCAAGUCGAACGAAGCAAUUAAGAUGAAGCUUUCGGAUGGAAUCUUGAUUGACUGAGUGGCGGACGGGUGAGUAACGCGUGGAUAACCUGCCUCACACUGGGGGAUAACAGUUAGAAAUGACUGCUAAUACCGCAUAAGGGCACAGUGCCGCAUGGCAGUGUGUGAAAAACUCCGGUGGUGUGAGAUGGAUCCGCGUCUGAUUAGCCAGUUGGCGGGGUAACGGCCCACCAAAGCGACGAUCAGUAGCCGACCUGAGAGGGUGACCGGCCACAUUGGGACUGAGACACGGCCCAAACUCCUACGGGAGGCAGCAGUGGGGAAUAUUGCACAAUGGGCGAAAGCCUGAUGCAGCGACGCCGCGUGAGUGAAGAAGUAUUUCGGUAUGUAAAGCUCUAUCAGCAGGGAAGAAAAUGACGGUACCUGACUAAGAAGCCCCGGCUAACUACGUGCCAGCAGCCGCGGUAAUACGUAGGGGGCAAGCGUUAUCCGGAUUUACUGGGUGUAAAGGGAGCGUAGACGGCGAAGCAAGUCUGAAGUGAAAACCCAGGGCUCAACCCUGGGACUGCUUUGGAAACUGUUUUGCUAGAGUGUCGGAGAGGUAAGUGGAAUUCCUAGUGUAGCGGUGAAAUGCGUAGAUAUUAGGAGGAACACCAGUGGCGAAGGCGGCUUACUGGACGAUAACUGACGUUGAGGCUCGAAAGCGUGGGGAGCAAACAGG